AGGUGCCAAGAGGGCAGGCCUUCGCCAGGCCCUGCACUUGAAGAGGCUGGGGAGGCCAGCCUGGCUGUAGGCUCCCCUCAGCCGGCCAGGUGUGCCCAUCCCUGAACUCUCCUGCCAUUGGCCUGUGCCAGAGCUGGGACCCCAUCCAGAUGAAGCCCUGAUUUGGACAUGAGGAAAAGGAUCUCAUUUUUAGUAACAGCACUGCAGAUAACAUGACGGUGUAGCCAUGUGGAUUCAGACUUAGAGAUGGUCACAGGUGAGCAGCAGUCAGCCAGAGCCUAAGAUGCUGGGGGUGGUUUUUGG
This 303-nucleotide long non-coding RNA is filed under the name Homo sapiens (human). RNAcentral's name for it is "HSALNT0100430". The record is from RNAcentral. Lineage: Eukaryota; Metazoa; Chordata; Mammalia; Primates; Hominidae.